RNAcentral lists this ribosomal RNA (451 nucleotides) under uncultured bacterium. Its description in RNAcentral is "partial 16S ribosomal RNA". It matches the Rfam family "Bacterial small subunit ribosomal RNA", at positions 28 to 523 of the family's 1533-position model. The record is from RNAcentral.
GAUGAACGCUGGCGGCAUGCCUAAUACAUGCAAGUCGAACGAGCUCUUCGGAGCUAGUGGCGGACGGGUGAGUAACACGUUGGUACCUACCCCGAAGUGGGGAAUAACUACCCGAAAGGGUGGCUAAUACCGCAUAAUACCGUAAGGUUAAAGCAGUAAUGCGCUUCGGGAGGGGCCUGCGUCCCAUUAGCUAGUUGGCGGGGUAAAUGCCCACCAAGGCGACGAUGGGUAGCUGGAUCGAGAGGUUGACCAGCCACACUGGGACUGAGAUACGACCCAGACUCCUACGGGAGGCAGCAGUAAGGAAUCUUCCACAAUGGACGAAAGUCUGAUGGAGCAAUGCCGCGUGCAGGAUGACGGCCUUCGGGUUGUAAACUGCUUUUAUAUGGGAAGAUUAUGACGGUACCAUAUGAAUAAGGACCGGCUAACUACGUGCCAGCCGCCGCCGUAA